Molecule: ribosomal RNA, 440 nt
Filed under: uncultured bacterium
Lineage: Bacteria
Description: partial 16S ribosomal RNA
Rfam family: Bacterial small subunit ribosomal RNA
Source: RNAcentral
CCUACGGGGGGCAGCAGUGGGGGAUAUUGCACAAUGGGGGGAACCCUGAUGCAGCGACGCCGCGUGGGUGAAGAAGCGCCUCGGCGCGUAAAGCCCUGUCAGCAGGGAAGAAAAUGGCGGUACCUGAAGAAGAAGCCCCGGCUAACUACGUGCCAGCAGCCGCGGUAAUACGUAGGGGGCAAGCGUUAUCCGGAUUUACUGGGUGGAAAGGGGGCGCAGACGGCGAUGCAAGCCAGGAGUGAAAGCCCGGGGCCCAACCCCGGGACUGCUCUUGGAACUGCGUGGCUGGAGUGCAGGAGGGGCAGGCGGAAUUCCUGGUGUAGCGGGGAAAUGCGUAGAUAUCAGGAGGAACACCGGUGGCGAAGGCGGCCUGCUGGACUGCAACUGACGUUGAGGCCCGAAAGCGUGGGGAGCAAACAGGAUUAGAUACCCGAGUAGUC